CUCAGACAUGGCAGAACCACCAGCUAGCUGAGGUACUUCAGCACCUCUGAAAAGAAAGCAAGAGCUCUGUAUGGCAUACGGGGAGGGCUUUCAAUAGGUGACAGAACAUUCUUAGAACUUUGCUGCUUGUUACUCCCCAAGAGAAGAUUCAUCAAAUUGGAUGUAUCAGGUCAUAUAGUCAGAAGCAAGAUACAUCCAGCAUCAUCACCUAAAAAUGCAUAAUUGUCAAGUCAUUAUGGCCAUCUUGCAAAAGUUGUGGUAGUAAAAGCAAACUUAAUGACUUGAUGAAUAUGACCAGCAGCAUUGAAGAGUGAUCUUGCUGCCUCACUCCUAACUGGAUUUCUUCAGGCCUCAUUCCACUUUUGAACGCUGCUGUGCAGAAGUCAGACUUGAGAUCUUGUGCUUUAACUUCGUUGCACUUGGAAAUAGCAGUUUUGCUUUUGUGCAAGUCUAGUUUCAGCAUGAGGUGCCUCCUCAUCAAAAGCCAUUACCCUUAAUGGUAAGCUGUGCAUCAGUCUGCUCAAAGUAUCUCAGGGCAUUGGAGGACUUUACAGUAACUAAAAUGGUUGUGGCAGGCUAUGCACUGCCUGAGCUGCAGCUAAAAAGUACUUGAGAGUGCUUGGAGGUGCACAGACUGCUAGGACUGUCCUGGAGAGAGCAUCACAUCCACCACACACUGGGUAAGUGCUUGUUGCAGUGAACUGUAUCUCCAGAAAACUUCAAGGCAUUCUGAAGAGAAAUCUGGAAGGAACAUCACAAAACAGAGCCAGGAAGCAAGAAGAAUCAGGGAUCUAUUCCUUACCUUUAUUCCCUGGCCCUCUGGCAUGACUUCAGCAUACUUAGUACUCUAUAGCACGUUCAGUGAUCAAGAUAAAACAUCACCUUCAAGCUUGAUUCAGCAUAGUACCUUUGUGUCUGUAUGUACAUCAACAAAUGCAUGCAGACAUACAAAAAAAGUCUGGAUACAAAAUCAAGACCUGAACCAAAAGAAAACACUGAAGUCUUGGAAUAGCAUCAUAAAACAACCAGACAAUGAACCAUUUGUAUAACUUAUAAAUUAUUUUUCUAAUGUCUCAUUUAUAGAAAUAAGUGAUUUAGUUGUAGGAACUUCCAUUUACAAGGAGUGAAUGCAUAGUUUCUUUUGUUCAGCAUGCUAUUUUGGCAGUGAUACAGAAAUGCCUACUGAUGUUUCUCAAUUGCUGUCAGGUCUUUAAUAUUUCCAUACUUAAUGCCUAUCAUUGCGUCUUAUCACUUUUUUUUUUUUUUCCAUUACCCUAUACCCAAAUGCUGGCUUACCGAAAAGGUGAAUCACCCAUUCCCAGUUUUUGUGUAACAGAUAAGGGAAACAACUGAAGAUGAACGUGAGGCUGGUAUAUGUCAGUAAGCACUGCAAUGCAGGGAAGAUUUGGAAGUAUGCACUCAAAUAUUUCAUUUCCUGUGCUUGACUGGGAUCAGAGCAUUCAUAACCCCCUAAGUCUGCAAUCUGAGUUAGCGAAGUUAGAAACACAUUUUUUGUGUCCCAAAAUUUACUUUGUGAUAUGAAAAUAUCCCCUAUUUAUUUUCUUCUUGCAUGACAUUGCACAAGUCAUUGCAUAUAAUGAAUCAACUGGGAGGACAAACUUUUUCAAGCUCGGUCAGGGAGGCUCUGAGCUCCUUUUCUCUGAGUGCAAUAAGUGACCCUGCUCUGAAACACUGGAAAAGCGUUGAAAGCAAAACAAAGAAAUGUUUUCCAUUGCUUAGACUUAUGAGAGGUAUUUCUACCGUGGCAACAAGAGGCAUAGCUCAAAUCAAAGUCUGGAAACUAAAAAUAUUUUAAAAAAUUAAAAAUAGAAUUCCUGUGAAAUAAGUAUAACAAUUUUACUGGUCCUGAGGCAUUAAAAAAUGUCAUUUAACUUUCACUUUCUGAGUUGAUCAAUUGAUUGUUCACCUCCCAGUUUCUCUUCAUCUCACAGGAAGUUAGUGCUAUAGAGUGGUGUUUCUCAAAUAACUUCCCAAACAGAUUGUUUAACAUGUUGCCUUGUACAAAAUUCCAGUAGUAUUACCAUAUAU
This 2049-nucleotide long non-coding RNA is filed under the name Gallus gallus (chicken). Its description in RNAcentral is "lncRNA (ENSGALG00010009134.1)". Lineage: Eukaryota; Metazoa; Chordata; Aves; Galliformes; Phasianidae. The record is from RNAcentral.